CACUCCUGCGGGAGGCAGCAGAGGGGAAUAUUGGACAAUGGGCGCAAGCCUGAUCCAGCCAUGCCGCGUGAGUGAUGAAGGCCCUAGGGUUGUAAAGCUCUUUCACCGGUGAAGAUAAUGACGGUAACCGGAGAAGAAGCCCCGGCUAACUUCGUGCCAGCAGCCGCGGUAAUACGAAGGGGGCUAGCGUUGUUCGGAUUUACUGGGCGUAAAGCGCACGUAGGCGGACUAUUAAGUCAGGGGUGAAAUCCCGGGGCUCAACCCCGGAACUGCCUUUGAUACUGGUAGUCUUGAGUUCGAGAGAGGUGAGUGGAAUUCCGAGUGUAGAGGUGAAAUUCGUAGAUAUUCGGAGGAACACCAGUGGCGAAGGCGGCUCACUGGCUCGAUACUGACGCUGAGGUGCGAAAGCGUGGGGAGCAAACAGGAUUAGAUACCCGGGUAGUCC
This 445-nucleotide ribosomal RNA is filed under the name uncultured organism. RNAcentral's name for it is "partial 16S ribosomal RNA". It matches the Rfam family "Bacterial small subunit ribosomal RNA", at positions 334 to 796 of the family's 1533-position model. The record is from RNAcentral.